RNAcentral lists this ribosomal RNA (3391 nucleotides) under Triticum aestivum (bread wheat). RNAcentral describes it as "partial small subunit ribosomal RNA". The record is from RNAcentral. Lineage: Eukaryota; Viridiplantae; Streptophyta; Magnoliopsida; Poales; Poaceae.
UCUGGUCACAGGGGUCGGGGAGAGAAAGAGAGGGGUGCCGUCGCGACGUGUUCGCACGAGGUAAUAACCACAGGGGUCGCGGUAACGAGGAGAAGGAGGCGGUGGUUUGUGGUUAGUGAGUCGACGAAGAAGAAGUGGUCUCUCGUCUCGUCUCGUCUAGGUCUCAGUUCCGCCGCUUCCCCUCUCUGCCCCAGCCUCUCUCUACCGCCCCCACCCGCAACCCUGCCCCCGCUACUUGGAGGAGCCGUUCGAGUGGCGGAACGACCCGCUGCUCAUGUUAGAAGAGUUCGCCCAGGCGUUCCUCUAGGUCAAGGAACUCGCGCUCGAGUGGCCGUACGCUCAGAACGACCUCUCUGAUUGCCCGUACCUCCUCUUUGAGCUGUAGUACCGGUUCCCGACCUCUCUGUCUCACGCGCUAGAAUCGAUGCUGUAUCUUCUGACGUAGCUGGCGAAGUACCUGGCCGAACCGUCGCCGCUGCGGUUUGGUUUCAAGUACUUCUCCUGACGCGUAGCCGAGUUCUGAGACACCCGCGCGGUACUGUAGCGUUGGGUCUAGUUCCUCGAGUUCCGAGCGCAGUACAUCCUUUCACUCGCGGCACUGUCCAUGUUCGAACUUCUCUUAAUGAUGUCACGUUGCUUCUGCCACCUCUAUCUGGGCUAUUGACGAUAGGUACUCCUCCAGUUCCCGAACCACCGUUACCUGCCGGGUUACUUCGUGCAGUAACGGAACGACUACCUACUCUCAUUUCUCAACUUUCACCACGGCUAACAACCUAGUCCUCCCGACCCCUUCUGCUGGGACCGGUACCUUCAGAUAGCGUUCUAACGUAAUCCUCCUCUGAAGGUCACAGUUCGAACACACAGUCACAGCGCGUGUGAACUAGACCACUUCGAGGAGUUUCUAUAGAACAGAGUCUAGCUAUUUCUACGCAUGUUUCUAACAGUCUUAACCCUUUUCCUUGUCGAUUAGGCACUUUAGUUUGUAUAGAACUGUCCUUUCUCCAUGAAGUAACAAUAACUACUACAUACCUUUCUUGUUCUAACCUUUAACCAGUUCCGUCGUAAAGGACUGUUAUUAUUACCAUCAUCUUAUUAACGAUGAUGUGCUGGCCACUUCGAUUAGAUACAACAAGGUAUAGGUUACUCGUUGGUAUAGUUUACCGUGGAGAUCUACUACAACUAAGAGUUUCUAACAAGAAAUUCUCUUAAAAGAUGAUUUUACUAAGUACAGGAAGACUUGACUUUCUUCAGAGACGAUCCUAAAAUUUUUUUACACCGCCUGACGGUGACCGAUAUUAAUGUAAACGUUCAAACGAACGGUCAUUCUUUGUAUUGUUCCUACUUACCCUCUCUGACGUUCUAAGGUAACCAUGACCAAGAAGCAAACUAUUCCUACCCUUGAAUUUUCCCCACUUUCUAUAUAACAAUGUAUCAAUGGACCUAGAAGGGGUGGUGGACUUCUGAACAAAUGACAUGGACACGAAUAUAGGUCUCCUGAGGUACUAGUUAUAAUUUCACGACUUUACCUUUACCUAUCGUCUUCCUAAGUAACGAUGUGUUACCCCUUCAAACCUAGUUCAUCGUCUCUUGACAAAAUUACUGGAACAAUUAUCUUUAUACUAGGUCGGUCAAAUACCAUUAAUACUGUGAAGCCACUUUAUAACAUCCCAGGUACUAUACCACGAACUGGAAUAAUAUAGAAAUAGUCUGCUUCUCUUAAAACGUUGACAGAAUUUACCCGCACAUACGUUAAGAAAGGGUUUAUUCUAUGCAGCAGACAGGUACGUUAGAUCACCGUUUCUCGUAUUUCCCCGUCAACCCCGUUAAUGUCUCUGGUUCUAUGUACAAGCGAGUGACUGAUAGAAAACCGUUCAACUCGUCUACGGGGUGGAACACCUGAAGGUACGAAACGCCCACAACCUAGAACCUCUAACAUUUACCAACCUUUUGUUCGUACAUUUUGUAUAUCGAUCAAGCGCAGUCGACUCCAUAAACUCUUAACCGUGAAGAUUCUAAUGACUCGAAGGAACACUUUAACCUUUCGACGUCGUGAACCUCUGAGACCUAAACUCUAUGACAAUAAGUGAAGGUUCUGAAGGUAGUUGGCACCGCGUCAAUGCCUUUAACCACGCGGAUAAACAGUUAGCGUUGUGUGAUAACGGACGUCCACCCAAGGCAUCAGACGUGCGGAACCUCCUCAAUGCGAAGUACGUUUGGCUGCUGGAUCAUUCUAAACGCCUCCUUCAUUUACUCAGCCCGUUUACGUUGGAAGCCAUAGAAGCAUGACUAUAUCUCUGUCGGUGCGCAGACAAGACAUUGGGUACGAUGUGUAUGGGCACGGAGGUUCAAGAAUUUUAAGUCAGUCCAAAACCUUUCCAAGGGUCCCCUUACUGGAGGGAGCUCUUAGAGUACUUUGAUACGUAUCUCCAGUACCUUAAACUAUUCCUCCUAGAGGUUCAAGAGUACCCGUACGGAAGAGACCGAGUAGACCUCGAACUCUAUUGUUCUUCCCGGUAAUUACUUUUCGACUAGUAACCAUCACUGCCUAAGUUUGACGAUUUCCAGAAGACGAAGGCGAUAAGUGAGAAGGAAUGAGUACAAUGUCACUUUAGUGGCCCACCUGACGCCGAUUGUAAACGUGGUCCACGAUACGGUCGUGAGGCAACAGAGGCAGAACUGAACUCGGGUUACAACUAGCGUAGGCUGAAAAUACGUCUGAACCCACAGCUCGUAGAAGGUCCGGGACGUCUCGAGCUCCAGGUUUAGUUAACAAAGUCUCGUCGAGGUCCGUCCCACUUCCGAGACCUCAUAAGGUAACUCUUUCGUUGGUUGAACGAGGGGUUCACGUAUUAGGCACAGUCGUCUCAGACACUUCUAGUCUACAUAUUCCUACUGUUCCUCACCUGGUCUUUGCUCCCCGUUAAAAAUAAGUGAGGAUGCUCAUCGUUAAAAAAUAUUAUACAGGAUGUGGGUAGAACUUGUCGUCAAGCACCUAGGUUCAGUUCAUUACGUAGACCUCUUAGGUCAGGACGAUGAAUUAGACGUUUCAGACGUUAAGUUGACCGGUCGGUAGUCGUAAACCAAGGUUUUCACUGAGACAACUCGCCUAGUGUACAUGAGUUCCACUAAAUAGACAUCACACUCGAUCAUAAAAAAAAAGAAGGAUUUAGACAGCGGUCGGAGGGAGCAAACGACCCAACGAACUCAAUCUUGUCUGUAAUCAUCAUCUAUACAAAAAUUAAGCGACAACCCCUUCGAACACAACACAUCGUGGGGACUCAAGAUAAAUUGAGAACACCACCGUUUAGGUAUAUACAACAACAAACACAUGCUAAAUGCGUCCGGUUUGACUCGAUACACAGAACACACUAUAGAGACGUAAACUAACCCC